RNAcentral lists this long non-coding RNA (954 nucleotides) under Nicotiana benthamiana. RNAcentral's name for it is "long non-coding RNA (NBEN_LNC031707)". Lineage: Eukaryota; Viridiplantae; Streptophyta; Magnoliopsida; Solanales; Solanaceae. The record is from RNAcentral.
UUGACAACUAUAUCAUGCAUAUUUACCCCCAUCCAUUUUCACCAGUCAACCCCAAUACUUGUUUAUAACAAGUUAUUAUAGACCAACAUUGAAAUGAAUUAUAUAAUGGAAAUAAGAAGUUACACUAUAGGAAGCCUGAUUAGGAAUUCCUCUCUGAGUUUUGUAAUCAAUCACCUCAAGUGCCAAGAUUGUUUCAUAGCUUUUCCUCAUAUCUAGCGUGUUAGAGUUCCCUAAGGACCUCAAGCGAAUCCGAGCAGUGUUCACACCCAAAUUCGAUAGCCAAGACAGAGUAAGUGGAGUGUGGAAAUGCCAGCUUUUAUGUGUCCAAGUUCAUAGGGAGCUCAAGGGUCCCAAGGCAAGGCUCACACAAAAAGGGCAAAACCUAGUGUUGUGCAGGACACAUAUUUGAGAAGAGUUUGUUUUAAAACUGGACUGACAGGUCCAUUUUAAAAGCAUUCAGUGACAGAAAUGAUUGAAAGCAGUUGUAUUAGUGUGACAGAGUCCAAACACUUCAGGGUAAGACCACACACAACAAAUGAAUGAAUUGAGUAAUCACAUAUGAGAUAAAAAGGAUUGGGAUACAUAUAUUGACUACAGACACCUGACCUCAGCAGAAUAUUACGACUGGUAGGGACAUGCUGAGAGAUAGUUGAUCACUGGCACAAUCACAAAUCAGUCAUGAAACACAUAGAGGAGGGAUAUAGGACUAGGAUUCACUAAAUGGUAAGUGCACAGCAGGUAAAAGAAUACAAUCAUCCAUGCAUGCUUGAAUCACAUGAAAUCAUACCAUCAUGCUUAGAUAUAAACAUCAGAAAAAAACCUGAAGUAAACUCAAGUCAGAAUGAAAAGAAACUGAAGCGGGAAUAGGAACAUAUUGUUGUUGAAGCUUUAAAUUAAACUAGGACAUACUAGUGAAGAUAGAGGUAAACAAAGUGAAAGAACCAAGGUUUGCAG